RNAcentral lists this unclassified non-coding RNA (206 nucleotides) under Scolecitrichidae sp. 2012JH108. RNAcentral's name for it is "partial ITS2". The record is from RNAcentral. Lineage: Eukaryota; Metazoa; Arthropoda; Copepoda; Calanoida; Scolecitrichidae.
UGAACAUCCAUCGGACACGUUCCGCAGCGGGCUCUCACGUUCCGCCCGUCAGGGCGAUGUGGUGCCUCAGAAUAUCCUGUGCAGAGUUUGCAACGACUCAACUCUUGGACCUCAACAGUCUGGGUUGGCCUGUCUGCAGGCUGCACACGUCUGGUGUCAGUGCUCUCUCUAUCCAGCCUGUUGUGCACCGACAAUAAACCUAACCU